AAUCCAUAGGUUAAUGAGGCGAACCGGGGGAACUGAAACAUCUAAGUACCCCGAGGAAAAGAAAUCAACCGAGAUUCCCCCAGUAGCGGCGAGCGAACGGGGAGGAGCCCAGAGCCUGAAUCAGCAUGUGUGUUAGUGGAAGCGUCUGGAAAGGCGCGCGAUACAGGGUGACAGCCCCGUACACAAAAGCGCAUGUGCUGUGAGCUCGAUGAGUAGGGCGGGACACGUGGUAUCCUGUCUGAAUAUGGGGGGACCAUCCUCCAAGGCUAAAUACUCCUGACUGACCGAUAGUGAACCAGUACCGUGAGGGAAAGGCGAAAAGAACCCCGGCGAGGGGAGUGAAAAAGAACCUGAAACCGUGUACGUACAAGCAGUGGGAGCACAGGUUUACCUGUGUGACUGCGUACCUUUUGUAUAAUGGGUCAGCGACUUAUAUUCUGUAGCAAGGUUAACCGUA
This 457-nucleotide ribosomal RNA is filed under the name Salmonella enterica. RNAcentral describes it as "partial 23S ribosomal RNA". It matches the Rfam family "Bacterial large subunit ribosomal RNA", at positions 161 to 654 of the family's 2925-position model. Lineage: Bacteria; Pseudomonadati; Pseudomonadota; Gammaproteobacteria; Enterobacterales; Enterobacteriaceae. The record is from RNAcentral.